This is a long non-coding RNA of Neofelis nebulosa (Clouded leopard), 568 nucleotides long. RefSeq lists it as uncharacterized. The record is from RefSeq and is a predicted model, not a curated record. The transcript has 4 exons. NCBI's taxonomy places the organism in Eukaryota, Metazoa, Chordata, Mammalia, Carnivora, Felidae.
CUACCAGCCGCAGGAACGGCAGCAGGUUGUGGGCCCCCCGGCCCGAUAGCGCUGCAGCGGAGGCCGAAGCCAUGCGGCCACCGGUCUGGCAGAUAUUCGAGGAAGAAAUAUUGCUUCUGCCUGCUGUAUCUUCAUAGAUUAAAAAAGAAGUUAAUAGUUGACCUACAUCAGUGGUCCUCAACCUCAAGGUAUUUCUUCCAAGACUCACAGAAACUCUGCAAGAUUGCCUUCGCUUUAUGAACAAAGAAACUAAGGUUCAGAGAACUGAAGCAACUUUCUCAAGGAUACCCAACAAGGAGUUAAACAUGCCACAUAAUUCAAACUAUGAUUAUUUUAUUCUGAAGAAAAGAUGGCCUCAAAAAAAGCUGUUGAGAGCAGCUCUAAAGGCAGAAGAAAUCUGUGAGAAGUGAACCUGAAUCCAUCAGGCCAAAGCAACAGCCGAGGAAGAAGAGAGGUGACCAGCAGGGAGAAGCCUGAGCUUUGUGUGAUGCCCUGUAGAUGUGGUCUUUCCAGAAGAACAUCGUCCACAGUGACCAACCAAAAGUGUGGGGAGCACAGAGAAGAAAAG